This 253-nucleotide ribosomal RNA is filed under the name uncultured bacterium. Its description in RNAcentral is "partial 16S ribosomal RNA". It matches the Rfam family "Bacterial small subunit ribosomal RNA", at positions 524 to 776 of the family's 1533-position model. The record is from RNAcentral.
UACGAAGGGGGCUAGCGUUGUUCGGAAUUACUGGGCGUAAAGCGCACGUAGGCGGACUAUUAAGUCAGGGGUGAAAUCCCGGGGCUCAACCCCGGAACUGCCCUUGAUACUGGUAGUCUCGAGUCCGGAAGAGGUGAGUGGAAUUCCGAGUGUAGAGGUGAAAUUCGUAGAUAUUCGGAGGAACACCGGUGGCGAAAGCGGCUUACUGGGUCUCUUCUGACGCUGAGGCACGAAAGCUAGGGUAGCGAACGGG